AUUCGAGAUGAUUCAAGAGAAAUGCAUAGAGUAUUCUCACACUGAUGCUCAUGUUUAAAGCAAAGAGCAGUUUGUACAGAUGAUAUUUAGAAGGUAGAGGACGCAGCAAGUUAUACGAAGCUGUCCUGUAGGGGCCGCUGUUAACAUAAAAC
Molecule: long non-coding RNA, 152 nt
Organism: Cynoglossus semilaevis (tongue sole)
Lineage: Eukaryota; Metazoa; Chordata; Actinopteri; Pleuronectiformes; Cynoglossidae
Exons: 2
Source: RefSeq, a predicted model, not a curated record